RNAcentral lists this ribosomal RNA (626 nucleotides) under uncultured bacterium. Its description in RNAcentral is "bacterial SSU rRNA". It matches the Rfam family "Bacterial small subunit ribosomal RNA", at positions 222 to 863 of the family's 1533-position model. The record is from RNAcentral.
AGGAUGGGCCCGCGUAUCAUUAGCUAGUUGGUGAGAUAACAGCCCACCAAGGCAACGAUGAUUAGCCGGUCUGAGAGGGCGAACGGCCACAUUGGAACUGAGAGACGGUCCAAACUCCUACGGGAGGCAGCAGUGGGGAAUAUUGCGCAAUGGAGAAGAACUCUGACGCAGCAAUACCGCGUGAGCGAAGAAGGUCUUCGGAUCGUAAAGCUCUGUUAUCAGGGAAGAAGAAAAUGACGGUACCUGAUGAGCAAGUCCCGGCUAACUACGUGCCAGCAGCCGCGGUAAUACGUAGGGGACAAGCGUUGUCCGGAAUCACUGGGCGUAAAGGGCGCGCAGGCGGUGAUUUAAGCAGGAUGUGAAAGGCUACGGCUCAACCGUAGACAUGCACCCUGAACUGGGUCACUUGAGUAUUGGAGAGGCAGGGCAAAAUUCCUGGUGUAGCGGUGAAAUGCGUAGAUAUCAGGAGGAAUACCGGAGGCGAAGGCGGCCUGCUGGACAAAUACUGACGCUGAGGCGCGAAAGCGUGGGGAGCAAACAGGAUUAGAUACCCUGGUAGUCCAUGCCGUAAACGAUGGAUGCUGGUUGUUGGUCUUUAAAGAUCAGUGACGACGUAAACACGAUAA